AUAAUAAUAAUUAUUGUUGUUACAAUAAUAUUCUUUGGUCAAGCUACUUGUUCUAAACAUGCUUUUAAAAAAUGCAGUUUUACAUUGCUACUUCUAUUUUGAAGGGGAAAUAGCGGCUGUGCUGAUGACCAAAGUGUGAGCCUUACAUGGCAAUCUCUCCUCUCCUGUGGAGGCCCCGGGGAGGGGAAGACAGACCCACCAGCCAGGAAGUUCCCAAGAUCCAUUGGUGCCUCUUUCUUUGAGCUCUGUGGCUUCCUCCCCACCAUGCUGCCCAAUGAGAGAGAGACAAGUGAACAAGCCAGGUGGCAGCUUGGUGCCUCCUUUUGCUUCCUAACUCUGGAUAGCCUCACUGGGCCUAAUCUUUCGCACUACUGCCUAGAGAGGGAGGAUGUAAGAAGAAGCCUUCCAGGGGGAGCAGGCUCUGGAAGUGAAGAAAGCAGGAACCAUCCCUUGGCCCAAUCUUUGUUGCUGAAAGAAGAAAGUUUGAGGGAUUGUGUGGAGGUUGUGUAGAUUCCUGCAAGGAGCAGUAGCUAUCUCCUGUUCUCUCUCUCUCUCAGUGGCAGAGGAUUUGAUUCACUGGGCUGAAUCCCCAAUGGAGAAUAAGCUGGCUGAUGUAAAGUACUUCUCUCUCACAAGAGUGUUAAUGUAGCAUAGGUGACUCCAAAUAUAGUGUGUGUGUGGCGGUGGGUGGGUUCCCCAUUGUGGAAAGAGAUCUUCUUCUGUAAAAAGAGAUUUUGUUUGUUCCUCAAAGGGAAAUUUCUGUCAACUUUGACAGUUACUGCUUUGCUCAUGCUGAAACUUUGCAUUAUCUCUAGUGUUGGAGUCUUCACCAGAGUGAAAACCUGCUCGCAUGUGAACAAGUCAGCCCUGCCAUUUUCUGGCAGUACUGCAGUGAACAAGUUAGCCCUACCAUUCUGGUAGCACUGCAGUUUUUCUCCAGAUGCUAAUGGUAUAAAAAGAGCAGAAAAUGGCUGGUUAUACUGCACCUUCUUAUAGGUAAACACAAUAGAAGAGUAAUGCCCAGGUACUGCAGUGAGAACACAGUCAAUAUAUUCCAGUUUCAUGUGUAUUUUGUUUUCUUUUGUUUUUACAUUCUGGUUUAUACAGAGUAAUUAAACUGAUUUUCAGACCUUUC
Molecule: long non-coding RNA, 1135 nt
Organism: Elgaria multicarinata webbii
Lineage: Eukaryota; Metazoa; Chordata; Lepidosauria; Squamata; Anguidae
Exons: 3
Source: RefSeq, a predicted model, not a curated record